RNAcentral lists this ribosomal RNA (521 nucleotides) under Fusarium oxysporum. RNAcentral describes it as "eukaryotic LSU rRNA". The stretch from base 164 to 317 matches the Rfam family "5.8S ribosomal RNA". Lineage: Eukaryota; Fungi; Ascomycota; Sordariomycetes; Hypocreales; Nectriaceae. The record is from RNAcentral.
AGAGGAGGGACAUUACCGAGUUUACAACUCCCAAACCCCUGUGAACAUACCACUUGUUGCCUCGGCGGAUCAGCCCGCUCCCGGUAAAACGGGACGGCCCGCCAGAGGACCCCUAAACUCUGUUUCUAUAUGUAACUUCUGAGUAAAACCAUAAAUAAAUCAAAACUUUCAACAACGGAUCUCUUGGUUCUGGCAUCGAUGAAGAACGCAGCAAAAUGCGAUAAGUAAUGUGAAUUGCAGAAUUCAGUGAAUCAUCGAAUCUUUGAACGCACAUUGCGCCCGCCAGUAUUCUGGCGGGCAUGCCUGUUCGAGCGUCAUUUCAACCCUCAAGCACAGCUUGGUGUUGGGACUCGCGUUAAUUCGCGUUCCUCAAAUUGAUUGGCGGUCACGUCGAGCUUCCAUAGCGUAGUAGUAAAACCCUCGUUACUGGUAAUCGUCGCGGCCACGCCGUUAAACCCCAACUUCUGAAUGUUGACCUCGGAUCAGGUAGGAAUACCCGCUGAACUUAAGAAUAUCAAUAA